Corchorus olitorius is the source of this 68-nucleotide non-coding RNA. The record is from Rfam. Lineage: Eukaryota; Viridiplantae; Streptophyta; Magnoliopsida; Malvales; Malvaceae.
UUGAGCCGGAUGAGAGGAAACUCUCAUGUCCGGUUUUGAGGGGGGGGUCCAUAGGACCCUAUCCUAAU